Molecule: ribosomal RNA, 440 nt
Filed under: uncultured bacterium
Lineage: Bacteria
Description: partial 16S ribosomal RNA
Rfam family: Bacterial small subunit ribosomal RNA
Source: RNAcentral
CCUACGGGAGGCAGCAGUGGGGAAUAUUGCACAAUGGGGGAAACCCUGAUGCAGCGACGCCGCGUGAGUGAAGAAGUAAUUCGUUAUGUAAAGCCCUAUCAGCAGGGAAGAAAAUGACGGUACCUGAGUAAGAAGCCCCGGCUAACUACGUGCCAGCAGCCGCGGUCAUACGUAGGGGGCAAGCGUUAUCCGGAUUUACUGGGUGUAAAGGGAGCGUAGACGGCAGUGCAAGUCUGGAGUGAAAGGCGGGGGCUCAACCCCCGGACUGCUCUGGAAACUGUACGGCUGGAGUGCAGGAGAGGUAAGUGGAAUUCCUAGUGUAGCGGUGAAAUGCGUAGAUAUUAGGAGGAACACCAGUGGCGAAGGCGGCUUACUGGACUGUAACUGACGUUGAGGCUCGAAAGCGUGGGGAGCAAACAGGAUUAGAUACCCCAGUAGUC